This 271-nucleotide unclassified non-coding RNA is filed under the name uncultured fungus. Its description in RNAcentral is "sequence contains ITS1, 5.8S rRNA gene". The stretch from base 223 to 271 matches the Rfam family "5.8S ribosomal RNA", at positions 1 to 49 of the family's 154-position model. Lineage: Eukaryota; Fungi. The record is from RNAcentral.
UUUCCGUAGGUGAACCUGCGGAAGGAUCAUUAUCGAUUCUCCUUUGAGUUGUGCUGGCCUUUUAGGCAUGUGCACGCUCUAAAUCUUAUCAUACACCUUGUGCACCUGUUUGUGUAGGUCUCUUGAGUGGGACCUAUGCUUUUAUUGAAAACACCCCUUGUAUGUUUUUGGAAUGGUCUGUAUAUGGUCUUUUCUGCCAUUUGGUGGAAUCGAAUAUAUUAUAACUUUCAGCAAUGGAUCUCUUGGUUCUCGCAUCGAUGAAGAACGCAGC